ACUCCUACGGGAGGCAGCAGUGGGGAAUAUUGCACAAUGGGGGAAACCCUGAUGCAGCCAUGCCGCGUGUGUGAAGAAGGCCUUCGGGUUGUAAAGCACUUUCAGUAGGGAGGAAGGUAGUGUAGUUAACACCUGCACUAUUUGACGUUACCUACAGAAGAAGCACCGGCUAACUCCGUGCCAGCAGCCGCGGUAAUACGGAGGGUGCGAGCGUUAAUCGGAAUUACUGGGCGUAAAGCGCAUGCAGGCGGCCUGUUAAGUCAGAUGUGAAAGCCCGGGGCUUAACCUCGGAAUUGCAUUUGAAACUGGCAGGCUAGAGUCUUGUAGAGGGGGGUAGAAUUUCAGGUGUAGCGGUGAAAUGCGUAGAGAUCUGAAGGAAUACCAGUGGCGAAGGCGGCCCCCUGGACAAAGACUGACGCUCAGAUGCGAAAGCGUGGGGAGCAAACAGGAUUAGAUACCCU
RNAcentral lists this ribosomal RNA (461 nucleotides) under uncultured bacterium. RNAcentral describes it as "bacterial SSU rRNA". It matches the Rfam family "Bacterial small subunit ribosomal RNA", at positions 335 to 788 of the family's 1533-position model. The record is from RNAcentral.